Molecule: ribosomal RNA, 253 nt
Filed under: uncultured bacterium
Lineage: Bacteria
Description: partial 16S ribosomal RNA
Rfam family: Bacterial small subunit ribosomal RNA
Source: RNAcentral
UACGAAGGGGGCGAGCGUUGUUCGGAAUCACUGGGCGUAAAGGGCGCGUAGGCGGCCCUCCUUGUCGCGUGUGAAAGCCCCGGGCUCAACCUGGGAACGGCGCGCGAGACGGGGGGGCUGGAGUUCGGGAGAGGAGCGUGGAAUUCCCAGUGUAGAGGUGAAAUGCGUAGAUAUCUGGAGGAAUACCGGUGGCGAAGGCGGCAUCCUGGACCGACAUUGACGCUGAGGAGCGAAAGCUAGGGGAGCAAACGGG